CCCUUAGAUGUCCUAGGCCGCACGCGCGCUACACUGACAUGUUCAACAAGUUUCUCCUAGUUCGACAGGACUGGGAAAUCUUUGAACGCAUGUCGUGAUAGGGAUAGAUCAUUGCAAUUAUUGAUCUUGAACGAGGAAUUCCUAGUAAACGCGAGUCAUCAGCCCGCAUUGAUUGCGUCCCUGCCCUUUGUACACACCGCCCGUCGCUCCUACCAAUUGAGUGAUCCGGUGAAUAAUUCGGACUGCUGCAAUGCUUGGAUCCCGAGAAUUGCGGCGGAAAAGUUUAGUGAACCUUAUCACUUAGAGGAAGGAGAAGUCGUAACA
This 324-nucleotide ribosomal RNA is filed under the name uncultured eukaryote. RNAcentral describes it as "partial 18S ribosomal RNA". It matches the Rfam family "Eukaryotic small subunit ribosomal RNA", at positions 1470 to 1796 of the family's 1831-position model. The record is from RNAcentral.